AGAAUACUGAAACAUGGGUUCCAAAUGUUCAAUCCUCAACGAUACUCAACGCGUUGUAUGGAUCACACACGGAAUAAAUUGGCCGUCUUUUGUUGCUGUCGUUAGUUUCCUGUUGUCCCUAGCUACAGUGUGUGCCGGUGCGAUAAAUAUACACGCGGGGAAGGCGCUUGCUAGCUGUUUUCGAUGGUUUCAUUGGAAAGCUUCUAUUGUGUGGUACGAACGAAGCUCAAAAGAAAAGAGCAGAUAGGGCUUCGGCUAAAUUGAUCAAGCCUGGUGAAAAGUACACGUGGUCUGGUACACUAUCUCUCCACAUGCGUGUCUAUGUUAUGAACGAUAACCUACAGUAUGACGACAGAGCGUGUUUUACUGGUCCCACUGCAGGCUCCGAGUACGUCUACCCCAUUUCCGAGUAUUUUAAAAAGCUCGACGUGAAGACCG
This is a non-coding RNA of Paramuricea clavata, 438 nucleotides long. The record is from the annotation of a GenBank genome assembly. Lineage: Eukaryota; Metazoa; Cnidaria; Anthozoa; Malacalcyonacea; Plexauridae.